This 245-nucleotide ribosomal RNA is filed under the name uncultured bacterium. RNAcentral describes it as "partial small subunit ribosomal RNA". It matches the Rfam family "Bacterial small subunit ribosomal RNA", at positions 26 to 286 of the family's 1533-position model. The record is from RNAcentral.
AGAAUCAACGCUGGCGGCGUGCCUAACACAUGCAAGUCGCACGAGAAAGGGUAGCAAUACCUGAGUACAGUGGCGCACGGGUGAGUAACACGUGAAUAAUCUACCUCCGAGUGGGGAAUAACUGAGAGAAAUCUUAGCUAAUACCGCAUAAUACCCACGGGUCAAAGCAGCAAUGCGCUUGGAGAGGAGUUCGCGGCAGAUUAGUUAGUUGGCGGGUAAUGGCCCACCAAGACGAUGAUCUGUAU